UAGGCUUGCUGUGAUCAGCUGCUAACAAUAUCGUAUAGUGUGUUCAGUUGAACUUGUGUCCAGUUUUUUGCGUUGAGUUGCACCCAUCCCAAAAAUAACUACCAAAAAAUACAGAUAAUUAAAAACAAAUGUCUGAGGGCAACAAGUAACGCAGAUUGCAGAAAAUCUGACGGUACUAUCCAUGAGAACCUAUAAUUUACAACAGUAGAAAAAGCUGUUACCAGCAUCACAAUAGACUUCUAUAAUAACCAACUAAACGAUUUGAAAAUCAUAGAAAAUACUGGUAAACUGAGAAACAACGAUUUAUUUUUCAUGUUAAAACACAAAUCCCGCAACAAGUGGUAAUAACAGCGUCAAAAUAUAAGAAUGAAAAACUGCAAUAUUGGUAUGGCAGAAGUACCUACGAUUUCCUUCAGAGAAUUAAUGGGCAUAGCAGCAUACACGGAAGAAGAGGAUGGAGUUUUAGAUCAUUUAAAAAUAUUGACCCUGCCCGUCGGUUGGCAAGGCCAUCAGAUACACAAGUUCCCGACCUCUUUGGCCAGGAAGCGACGAUUCAGGACCCCCAGAACACAUCCUAUAUAUCCUGAAGAAAUAUCCAAUUCGUUUUAUCAAUAAAAACGGCGAGCCCGGUCGACACCAUCGAAAAAUACGCAACAAAAGCAUUACCUGAGAGGAUGAAAGAAAUCGAAUCGGUGUUCCACCACGGAAUCCUAUAAAGAACCAACUGGGACUCCGGUUGCUUAUGACCAAUGUUUCUGAUUCCCAAACCGAGGGGACGAUACUCGCCAGGUUUUCAAACUUUGGUGUUCAAACAAGUAUCUGCAACCUGCAAACUUUCGCUGAGUCAACGCUGUUAUCGUUGUUUAUCCUUCAUGGGGCAACUCUACAACGCAUCGUGUCUUCCUUGCGGCUUAUCGACGGUUCUAGCGGCUUACUCAAACAUAUCCAACUGGAUUACACGCAUCCUUCUUCAAAGAGAUAUGUGAGUUCUGGUUUCUGGACGGUUUUCUUUUGGCCCAUCAGGCCGCUCAGAUACGUCAGGGUAGAUUCGGCGGGCUCCGAAGUUUCUACCCUUCCUGAAUUGGGUUAUUAGCAUUCGAAAAUUAAUCAUCCAGUCUUGCCACGGAAUCGAGUUUCUAGGAAUUAUCUGAGGCCCAAGAGUUAAUUUAAUGAUACUCUCAGGAGACAAGAAAGUACGGACCCUAUAGUUGUUGAAAUAGGUGGCGAAGUUGAGAUCCUGGAAAUAGAAAAGGUAAGCUCUCCUGGGAAUGCUAAAUUUUGCUUGUACAGUAAUACCCUUAGAACGCCUCUUUUGUCGCCAAUUACAACGAGAAGCGCGCCAUUUAUUACAACCCUUCCCAAAAAGGACAUACCUUCUUCUCUCAUUACCUUACAUCGACUGUCAGUGGUAGAAAAAGAACAUCAAUCAGACAUGACCUAUUUCCUAGUCAGAACAAAGGAUCUUCAUCUCAACAGAUGCUUUGCAGUCAGGUUGAAGUCCAUUUGGACGAGAUUUCCUAUUGCGGGGCAUGGUCUCGAUCUUAGUCAGCGUGGCACAUGAACAAACAAGAACUGUUCACUCUAUUGGUAGCAGUCCAAGCUUUAAUGGAUCGUCUCGAGGAUGAGACAAUCAUGUUACAGUUAGGCAAGAAAACGGCCCUGGCUUACAUCAGGAAUCAGAAAGAAACACGUUCCCAGGUAAUAGUGGGGCUGAUGAAGGAACUUCUACUUUGGCUAAAAAAAUACAGAAGCACCUUCAUUCCGUUCUUCCUCACGGGAAUUACAACACGUGGGUAGACAGACUAUAAAAAAAUGUUGCCCUGUCGGAGUGGCACUUAAGUCUGGAAAUUCAAUAAAGGGUAGAGCAGAAUUGGGCAACGCCAACAAUAGACCAUUUGGCGAUCAUCCACUCCAAAAUAGUACCGACUUAUGUGUCAAUCGAUGCGAGUGACCAGAACGUCGCAGUCAUCAAUGCAUUCAGCAGUUGAAGCAUGGGUGUUUCCGCCUCUUUCGGUAAUUCCAAAAGUUUUACACACUAAAAUUUAGGAAAGAGAAUCUUCCUGGUGGUCGUACCGAGGUGGGCCAAGACCUUCUGGAGGAACACCUUGAAACGCAGAAGUCUCGAUGCCUCAUUCCAAGUUCUGCAUCUCAAGAAACACCUGAAAGACCUAUCGACAGGGGUCCACCUCAGAAUGUCGACCACCUCUUUCUGCAGGUUUGCAAGGUAUGGGGUGGAGUCAUUCAAUAAGGGGAUUAGCAGAAUCUGAGAUCAAACUCCUCGGCGCGGCUUAGAGGAACACUUCCUGGAAGACAUAUUCUUCGAUUUGGAGUCAGUGGGGGACCUGGUGCAAAGAAAAGGGGACUCAGUCAGACACUCCCUCAGCACAGCAACUGGUGGCAUAUCUGAGUUACUUUUUCAAUGAGAGGAGAUUAGCCUAAAGCCGGAUCCUCACGCAAAAGUUAGCAAUUUCGUCCCUGGCUAAAAGGGGAAACAAGGAGAGUUUGAGCUCUGAUCGAAAAUAACCAUCUGAAAUAUAGAGACGAUGACGACCUGGCAGUUAGACUAUUCACCUUCGCCUAGAGAAGACAAUCUUUACCUGGAGGCGACAAUUUUUUCCAGACCUCGCACUUCGUCGCUCUCCUUCUUCUGAUGGUAUCGUGGAGAAGAAUACAUGAUCGUACCCUCCUUUCGAUCAAUCCAGAGUUCUACACGGUUGACGAAGGCAAAAUUGUUUUUUGCACGAAAUUAUGAUCCAAAAUAGAGUCGGCGAAUUAUCGUCUAUCGGAAUAGCAAAUCUCACAUUCGGGAGAUGCUUUAUUUGAUCUGGUGAGGUGGAUUAAAAUGUUGAUGAAUCUGUCAGAGAAAAGACGUAGGACCCGGGAAGAAUUCACAGCUCUUUUCAUUCCAACGACAGAGAUGGUCAAAGCACCCUCGAGAACGAUCAUCGCGGGUUAAAUAGGAACUGCCCCUUCAGAAGCAAAAAUUCAGGCAAGUCUAGGAUCAGCACGUUCAGUGAUAGCCCCUAAUAAUUUUCAAGACACGAGGAAUAUGCAGAAAGCACUACGAAAGUGUAACUGGAAGGUUCCUGAUAAUUUCUUCAAGUAUUACUAUAAAGUUAUGAAGGAGCCAAAGAGUCCAGAAUCAAGGAAGCCCCUUAGGGACUGCUUUAAUCCAAUCUGAUAUAGUAGAGCUAUAUCAUAUGGAUUUUAUGAUAAUUACGUUCUCGGAGAUAUGAAUAAACAUUUCGUCCUUUAAAAUCACAGUACGGCUUUAUACUGCCGGCAGAUUUUAAAUACCUCUCCAAAGGGUCAACCCGAGGGCACAAACAUAAAAUAGAAUCGUUUUCCACCCUGGAGGAAAGAGAGCGUGUAUUUCAGGUCUUGGCGAGGCUCGAUUGACCCGAGCAAGGGUAUUUUUAUUUUUGAAUGAAGGCAUUAUAAUUGUUGAAAUGUAUUGAUUCUGACCCGAAAACUUUGAAAAUUCCAUCUUAAACAACAUUCAAACCUUCACCGUUGAUUGGGUGCUAAUGCACCUGUGAAGUGAAAUAAUUUUUUCAAAUUAGAAAAUUCAAUUCAUUUAUUAAAUUUUCAAGUCUUAAGGUUUUUCAACGAUAACUGGACAAUAAAAAGUUAUGGAAUACUUCAAUGAGAGCUUAAAAAUGAAUGUAAAUCAAGAUUUAAUGAAAUGGUCAUUAUUCAGAAUUGUUCCGGUGACUUGGUGAUGAAGUUCGAAGUUAGAAAUAAUAGUGAUAACGACCAUGUCGAAAUCUGAUUAGACUGUAUGUAAUGAAAAAGCAUUGCCUAUGUUGUUUUCCUAUUCACAUACAAAGAAUUUAUGUGAACGAAAUUUCCAAAACGGGCGCAAAAAACGUUCAAUCCAGGAACAAAAAAUUAGGGAGUAAAUUAGGGAGUAAGCGUGGUUGCAGAAAAGAUUCAGCAAGCUUAUUUCAAACAUCAAUGCAGCUAAUGCACUUUUAUUUCAGUUUUUAACCCAAUUGUGAAUGGUUGACCAGGUUGGACGAAUAUUCCCACACGAAACCAUAUAAAUAAUAAAAUAAGUACUACCAACAAUUCUUAUUUAAAUAAAUCUAUUAUUUCAAUUUCAUUACCGCAUUUUUCAUCAAGCAUCCAUUGUAGCAGCAUAUCAUAAGAAAUGUUCAUAUCCCCAUGGAAUCAUUUCAUGUAAUUACAGAGGAUGUUAAAUUCUUUUUGCAAUCUGCAUUGUAGGUCAGAAUGUUUUAUUCAACGACUAAAUAAUCCAAUUCCUAAUACAAAACCACAGAAAAUUAAAAACCAAUCGCGUCGACAUCCUUUUCAUAUUGUACAUUUGGAAAAAAA
This is a long non-coding RNA of Fopius arisanus, 4338 nucleotides long. RefSeq lists it as uncharacterized. The transcript has 3 exons. The record is from RefSeq and is a predicted model, not a curated record. NCBI's taxonomy places the organism in Eukaryota, Metazoa, Arthropoda, Insecta, Hymenoptera, Braconidae.